Molecule: ribosomal RNA, 103 nt
Filed under: Drosophila mojavensis
Lineage: Eukaryota; Metazoa; Arthropoda; Insecta; Diptera; Drosophilidae
Source: RNAcentral
GUCAACGACCAUACCACGCGGAGUACAUCGGUUCUCAUCCGAUCACCGAGCGCGGUUAGUACUUAGAUGGGGGACCGCUUGGGAACACCGCGUGUUGUUGGCA